UGCUAUGCAACAGGUCGGCC
This 20-nucleotide unclassified non-coding RNA is filed under the name Mus musculus (house mouse). RNAcentral's name for it is "oocyte_clustered_small_RNA4924". The record is from RNAcentral. Lineage: Eukaryota; Metazoa; Chordata; Mammalia; Rodentia; Muridae.